AAGAUUUUAAGUUAAAACAAAACUAUUAUCCUUCAAAGUUAAAAAUAAUAAUAUUCAUUUAUUAAAUCUUA
This 71-nucleotide transfer RNA is filed under the name Janus compressus. RNAcentral describes it as "tRNA-Trp". Lineage: Eukaryota; Metazoa; Arthropoda; Insecta; Hymenoptera; Cephidae. The record is from RNAcentral.